This 364-nucleotide ribosomal RNA is filed under the name uncultured archaeon. Its description in RNAcentral is "bacterial SSU rRNA". It matches the Rfam family "Archaeal small subunit ribosomal RNA", at positions 43 to 385 of the family's 1478-position model. The record is from RNAcentral.
GAUAAGCCAUGCAAGUUGAAUGGGAUACCUAAAUUUUCCAUAGCAAACUGCUCAGUAACACAUGAUCAACUUGCCCUAUGGAGAAAAAUAACCUCGGGAAACUGAGGAUAAUAUUUCAUAGUUGAAUAGGCUUGGAAAAGUUUUUCAAUGAAAAGGAAAAGAUAAAUGGAUCUUUUCUGCCAUAGGAUAGGAUCGUGGUCGAUUAUGGUAGUUGGUGAGGUAACGGCUCACCAAGCCUAUAAUCGAUACGGGCCAUGAGAGCGGGAGCCCCGAGAUGGGCACUGAGACACCGACCCAGACCCUACGAGGCGCAGCAGGUGCGAGACCUCCACAAUGCACGAAAGUGCGACGGGGCUACCCCAAG